AAAAAGACAAACCCUGGGUUUCCGUGUCCAACGUUUGACUGUCCGUUUUAUAUGAAAUUUUUUUAUAAUCAGUAUUUUUAUUGAUGUUAUGUGAUAAAACAUGAUUAAUACUUUAUGUAUGACUUAUCUUUUUAAUUUUUUUCAUAAUUUUUUCAAAUAAGAUGGACGGUCAAAAGUUGGACACGGAAACCCAGGGUUUGUCUUUUU
This 207-nucleotide microRNA precursor is filed under the name Oryza rufipogon (brownbeard rice). RNAcentral's name for it is "MIR812 microRNA precursor family". It matches the Rfam family "MIR812 microRNA precursor family". Lineage: Eukaryota; Viridiplantae; Streptophyta; Magnoliopsida; Poales; Poaceae. The record is from Rfam by way of RNAcentral.